This 542-nucleotide ribosomal RNA is filed under the name Dendropsophus leucophyllatus group sp. ABGD cluster 4. RNAcentral's name for it is "partial large subunit ribosomal RNA". It matches the Rfam family "Bacterial large subunit ribosomal RNA", at positions 1808 to 2562 of the family's 2925-position model. The record is from RNAcentral. Lineage: Eukaryota; Metazoa; Chordata; Amphibia; Anura; Hylidae.
CAAAAACAUCGCCUCUUGCAUCAAUAUAAGAGGUCCAGCCUGCCCAGUGACCCAGUUCAACGGCCGCGGUAUCCUAACCGUGCGAAGGUAGCGUAAUCACUUGUUCUUUAAAUGAGGACUAGUAUGAAUGGCACCACGAAGGUUACGCUGUCUCCUUUUUCUAAUCAAUGAAACUAAUCUCCCCGUGAAGAAGCGGGGAUUUAAAUAUAAGACGAGAAGACCCUAUGGAGCUUCAAACUAUAUAGCAUUGGCUUUUAUCCACUUAUACCCCCCCGGGUUCUCAUACUAACUCUAGCCUUUUAACUAUUAGUUUUGGGUUGGGGUGACCACGGAGCAAAAAUUAUCCUCCAUGAUGAACAGAGCUACUCUUGAACCAAAAGCUACAACUUUAAGCACCAAUAAACUGACACAGUUGACCCAAUAUUUUGAGCAACGAACCAAGUUACCCUAGGGAUAACAGCGCAAUCCACCCCAAGAGCCCCUAUCGACAGGUGGGUUUACGACCUCGAUGUUGGAUCAGGGUAUCCCAGUGGUGCAGCCGC